This 443-nucleotide ribosomal RNA is filed under the name uncultured bacterium. Its description in RNAcentral is "partial 16S ribosomal RNA". It matches the Rfam family "Bacterial small subunit ribosomal RNA", at positions 338 to 795 of the family's 1533-position model. The record is from RNAcentral.
CCUACGGGCGACAGCAGUGGGGAAUAUUGGGCAAUGGGCGCAAGCCUGACCCAGCAACGCCGCGUGAAGGAAGAAGGCUUUCGGGUUGUAAACUUCUUUUAUCAGGGACGAAGCAAGUGACGGUACCUGAUGAAUAAGCCACGGCUAACUACGUGCCAGCAGCCGCGGUAAUACGUAGGUGGCAAGCGUUAUCCGGAUUUACUGGGGGUAAAGGGCGUGUAGGCGGGAAAGCAAGUCAGAUGUGAAAACCAUGGGCUCAACCUGUGGCCUGCAUUUGAAACUGUUUUUCUUGAGUACUGGAGAGGCAGACGGAAUUCCUAGUGUAGCGGUGAAAUGCGUAGAUAUUAGGAGGAACACCAGUGGCGAAGGCGGUCUGCUGGACAGCAACUGACGCUGAGGCGCGAAAGCGUGGGGAGCAAACAGGAUUAGAUACCCGGGUAGUC